Elgaria multicarinata webbii is the source of this 732-nucleotide long non-coding RNA. RefSeq lists it as uncharacterized. NCBI's taxonomy places the organism in Eukaryota, Metazoa, Chordata, Lepidosauria, Squamata, Anguidae. The transcript is spliced from 4 exons. The record is from RefSeq and is a predicted model, not a curated record.
GUUGUAGGAAUUACUAUUCUGAUUGGUGGAAUAAUUUUGUUCCUUUGCUGGAAGAAGAAUUCGAAAGGAAAACCAUAUGAACUACAUCAAAGGGAUCGGACUACAACUGAAAUGGAAGGAGAUGAAUGCUCCCCAUAUGCAGUCGGCAGCCGCGUUGACGUAUGUGGAAAUGAAGCUGUGUAUUCGCUUGCAAUGAUGCCUGGUGUGAACCCAAAUGGAGGCUCCUCUUCGCUGGAUGGCAAAUCGGCUUCUGGAGAAAAAGUGGAGGCGCUCUACGCUGUGGUGAACAAAGACUGAGGAGUGCAAAGGGCUAGAACAGCCUUCCUUUCAGUUGGGUUUUGGUCAGACGUUAUCAAAAUUUGCAAAAGUCUUCAUAUUCAGGAAGGAAAGGCCUUGAGAUAUUUUAAGAGAUAAUGCCGGGAGAUUAAGCUUAACAGAGACAUCUGUCCCUCCUUACUCUUGGCGAUCCUUGCUGCACCACAGCAUCACCUGAGUGAGGGAUGAAAGGUAGGAGUCAGGUUGUCCUCUGAGAUGCGUCACCUGAUUUAGGGCAUAGCUAGACAGGGCGAUAUCCUGGUGAUCAUCCCAGGAUUGUCCCUGUGCAUCCACAUGACACACAGGGCAUCCCGGGAACAGGGAGGGAUGAUCCCUCCCUUGGCCCGGGAUAUCGCCUACCCUUUUAGCCUGCUUUUUCCACAGUCUCGGGAUGAUCCUGAGACCACGGAACUUAUG